UUUCCGUAGGUGAACCUGCGGAAGGAUCAUUAUUGUAUAACCGAGGUGCGAGGGCUGUCGCUGACCCGAAAGGUCGUGCACGCCCGAGUGCCCUCACACACAUCCAUCUCACCCCUAUGUGCACCACCGCGUGGGUCCCCCUUUGGCUUGUUCGGAGGGGGGCUUACGUUUUCACACAAACUUUGUAUGCAGUGUAGAAUGUAUUUUUUGUUUUGCGAUCACGCAAUCAAUACAACUUUCAACAACGGAUCUCUUGGCUCUCGCAUCGAUGAGAACGCAGC
RNAcentral lists this unclassified non-coding RNA (281 nucleotides) under plant metagenome. RNAcentral's name for it is "partial contains small subunit ribosomal RNA, internal transcribed spacer 1, and 5.8S ribosomal RNA". The stretch from base 234 to 281 matches the Rfam family "5.8S ribosomal RNA", at positions 1 to 49 of the family's 154-position model. The record is from RNAcentral.